This 1504-nucleotide unclassified non-coding RNA is filed under the name Caenorhabditis elegans. Its description in RNAcentral is "Non-coding transcript of protein-coding gene cgt-3". The record is from RNAcentral. Lineage: Eukaryota; Metazoa; Nematoda; Chromadorea; Rhabditida; Rhabditidae.
AUGGAAGUUGCAAAAGCCGUGGCCACGAAUUUGAGCACGGCGGCCAACUCGACAGUACUUAGAACCGUGGCGUCAUCAACAUCGUCGAUAAUCGGUGCGGCGGCAGCAGCAGUGGCUGAGGCUCAGCCGUCGGCCUCUCCAUCCACAUCUUCAUCAUUUCUACUGCUGGAAGUUCCAUUCCGUCACUUGCUCCGACUACAACCACCACCAUAUUUUAUUGCCGGAACAAGACGGAUGGCAGCUCAGCUUGAUGUUACGACACUGAUUGCCAUCGUUGGCUUCGUCUUCGUAUUUUGCCUCUACCUUAUUCACAUUAUUGCAUUGUCUUAUUCAAAAUAUCGAUUACAUCACAAAGUGAAAGAAGAUUCAUCGCUUCCUGGAGUUUCUAUAAUUAAACCAAUUGUUGGAAAAGAUAAUAAUUUAUACGAGAAUAUAGAAUCAUUUUUCACCACACAAUAUCACAAAUAUGAACUUUUGUUCUGUUUCAACUCUUCAGAUGAUGAAGCUGUGGAAGUUGUGAAGUGUCUCAUGAAGAAAUAUCCGAAGGUUGAUGCGAAACUUUUCUUUGGAGGUGAAACCGUUGGACUGAAUCCAAAGAUCAACAACAUGAUGCCUGCGUAUCGUUCUGCACUUUAUCCGCUGAUAUUAGUUAGUGACAGUGGAAUAUUUAUGCGUUCAGAUGGUGUUUUGGAUAUGGCCACAACGAUGAUGAGUCAUGAGAAAAUGGCAUUAGUGACACAGACACCGUAUUGUAAGGAUCGAGAAGGUUUCGAUGCGGCUUUUGAGCAGAUGUAUUUUGGAACUUCUCAUGGACGUAUAUACCUAGCUGGAAAUUGUAUGGACUUUGUCUGUUCCACGGGAAUGUCAUCAAUGAUGAAGAAAGAAGCACUUGAUGAAUGUGGUGGCAUUUCUAAUUUUGGAGGAUAUCUUGCAGAGGACUACUUUUUCGGAAGAGAGCUCGCAAAUCGUGGUUACAAAUCUGCAAUAUCAUCUCACCCAGCUCUCCAGAACUCAUCAUCAGUAUCGGUUUCGUCAUUUCUCGAUAGAAUUUGCAGAUGGGUCAAGUUAAGGAUUGCCAUGUUGCCACACAUUCUUCUCGUUGAGCCAUUGCAGGUAAUUCCAAAAUUCACUUUUUUUUAAAUCUCCAAUAUUAUAGGAUUGCUUCCCGUCUGGUUUAAUCAUGGCAUUCAGUUUGAAUCAUUUGGUAGGAUUGAAUAUAAUGCCAAUAUUGAUACUUCAUACUAUCUACUGGUUCAGUAUGGAUUACUCGCUAAUGAACAGUAUGCAGGUAAUAUAUUUUCUAAUAAAAUAUACAUCAACAUUUUUCAAAUUUCAGAAUGGCAAAUUGAGCUUCUCUCCACUUCAAUUUAUGCUCAUUUGGCUUUUGCGUGAGCUCACCGCUCCUUUCGUCUUUAUCAAAGCUCUUUUACAACCAACAAUUCAAUGGCGAAACAAUGUUUUUCAUUUGGCAUGGGGUGGACAGAUACUUCCACCAAAAUGUUGA